GAGCAAAGUUGUUUUGUGUCCAUGCAUCAGAGCUCCCAUCCUGGGACAUAAUAAGGGGAGGAUUUGUAGGCAUUGGCCCCUAGACGAUCUCAUGAAGCGGCGAUUCCAAAUGAGGAUAACGCAAAACGCCGUGCUCAUGCUUUGGAAGGAAACAGCGGCUUUGCUUUUAUAUUUGCUCGGGGAAAGGCGGGAACUUAACCAAGUUGUGCUCAUGGGCUUUUCUGGCACUAUCAUCGCUUAACAUACAUAGCCUGAAUGUUUCUCCAGCCUGUUUCUUACAUCAAGACAGUGCAAGACAUGGAAAGGAAACUCAUUCAGCAUCACUGCCCAGUGCCUGCAAGCUGUUUGGCCCGGAGAGUUCUAUUGAAAAUCAAGAUAGAGAGGAAGAUCCUGUGAUCAGCAUAGCAUCUCUAUUCAGUUGGAUAUCUUCAACAACAGCAACAAAAAAAUAUUGUCCAGAACAAGGCCUUAAUCAUAUGGUGUGAUAAAGGUCUGAAGGGAUGACGACUUGUAACAAGUGCCUAUGAUAAUUUCUAAUCACCACAAAAGAAUUUAUAGAAUUUUAUAGAACUACUUCAUCUCAGAUAGACCAGUAGAAGGAGGUGGACUUGCCUCUUAAUAAGCUAGCUUCAGUGAUUUUUUUUUUUAUUUACUCAUAAUUCACUUAUUUGAAGUGUUUUCUUUUUCUUGAAUGAAAUCAAGUAAUCAUUUUACUGUCUUGGGAUCAGAAGUCUCACUUUUUUCUGACUCAUGCAGUCUGCAGAGUCCCAGACUCCCUCCUCAGCCAUAGCCAGAAUUCACUGGCAUGAAUGAACCUGUUGACUUCUCUGAAAAUCUAUGUAUGUAACACCUACAAGAAAGUAACACUGGAAAUUUCCAGAAGACCAAUCAUAUUACUCCUGACUUCUAGGUAAUAAAAAUCAAGAAACUGGAACCCUAAUUGUUUAUGGUAAACCAGCAUAUAAAAUAAUUUACUUUAA
Tyto alba (common barn owl) is the source of this 980-nucleotide long non-coding RNA. RefSeq lists it as uncharacterized. The record is from RefSeq and is a predicted model, not a curated record. The transcript is spliced from 4 exons. NCBI's taxonomy places the organism in Eukaryota, Metazoa, Chordata, Aves, Strigiformes, Tytonidae.